AGGGUUGCAGCUCAGUGGCAGAGCGUCUGCUUUCCUCGUACAAGGUCUCAGGUUCAAUCCCCAGCAUCUCCA
This is a non-coding RNA of Podarcis lilfordi (Lilford's wall lizard), 72 nucleotides long. NCBI's taxonomy places the organism in Eukaryota, Metazoa, Chordata, Lepidosauria, Squamata, Lacertidae. The record is from the annotation of a GenBank genome assembly.